RNAcentral lists this ribosomal RNA (216 nucleotides) under Epitranus sp. D1824. RNAcentral's name for it is "partial 28S ribosomal RNA". It matches the Rfam family "Eukaryotic large subunit ribosomal RNA", at positions 967 to 1163 of the family's 3401-position model. The record is from RNAcentral. Lineage: Eukaryota; Metazoa; Arthropoda; Insecta; Hymenoptera; Chalcididae.
UUUCCCUCAGGAUAGCUGGCACUCGCUUGAGCGAGUCUCAUCUGGUAAAGCGAAUGAUUAGAGGCCUUGGGGCCGAAACGACCUCAACCUAUUCUCAAACUUUAAAUGGGUGAGAUCUCUGGCUUGCUUGAACGUUGAAGCCACGAGAUACAAUUGUCGCAAUGGAUCAGAGUGCCAAGUGGGCCAAUUUUGGUAAGCAGAACUGGCGCUGUGGGA